This 460-nucleotide ribosomal RNA is filed under the name uncultured bacterium. RNAcentral describes it as "partial 16S ribosomal RNA". It matches the Rfam family "Bacterial small subunit ribosomal RNA", at positions 338 to 795 of the family's 1533-position model. The record is from RNAcentral.
CCUACGGGAGGCAGCAGUGAGGAAUAUUGGUCAAUGGACGAGAGUCUGAACCAGCCAAGUAGCGUGAAGGAUGACUGCCCUAUGGGUUGUAAACUUCUUUUAUAUGGGAAUAAAACGUUCCACGUGUGGGAUUUUGUCUGUACCAUCUGAAUAUGGAUCGGCUAACUCCGUGCCAGCAGCCGCGGUAAUACGGAGGAUCCGAGCGUUAUCCGGAUUUAUUGGGUUUAAAGGGAGCGUAGGUGGAUUGUUAAGUCAGUUGUGAAAGUUUGCGGCUCAACCGUAAAAUUGCAGUUGAAACUGGCAGUCUUGAGUACAGUAGAGGUGGGCGGAAUUCGUGGUGUAGCGGUGAAAUGCUUAGAUAUCACGAAGAACUCCGAUUGCGAAGGCAGUUCACUGGACUGCAACUGACACUGAGGCUCGAAAGUGUGGGUAUCAAACAGGAUUAGAUACCCCAGUAGUC